AGAGACUUUGACACCUAAUGCACGACAAUUUAUUGUAUUUAGUGUCAAAACAUUUGCGGAAAAUGUCCAAAUGCAAAAGUAAAGUUCCGAUUUAAAUUAUUCAUAUUCUGUGUGGUUUUUUCUUUUAUUGCGGUUUAUUUUAAUAUUUAUUCCACAAAAUGGAUAUGUAUCUUCGGAGGAGUUCAGCGGUGAUAUUGCCGCAUUUGCUGGAAAUCGAUUUAACUUGGAACUCAACUUAAAACCAACUCCAUUAUACAAUAAACAAGAUCAGAAAAGUUCCAUGAUCGUUUCUUACAUUUUUUAUGGUUGGUCUUAUGAUUUAUUGUGGAUAUUAGACGUUUACGCAUCAAAAAUCUUUCAAAUCUCACUAUUAACUCCAACAAUUUUACUAAUAACACCCCGAAUUGCAAUAUGUUUACUCUCUUAUCUAAUCGACUGGUCACUCUACAAGAUCGACAUAAAAUCCGGUGGUAAAUAUCGCUCAAAGUCAUUGAUUCUAGCCAGUUCAUAUUGUAUGUUAAUUUACACAUCUCGAACUCUGGUGAAUAUUCAAGAAAUCAUUUUAUUUUCAUUGCUAUUAUACUUUGUAAUUGGUAGCAAAGUUUACACAAACAAUAAACCCACACUGAAGAAAUAUUUACUAACGCCAAAUAAAGAAGUAAAAAAGAUAUUCAAGCAACAAUUACAAUCAACUGAUACGCAACCUUACAAAAAUAUUAUACCAAUCAGUAUAAUCCUGGUUUUAGGAUGUUUCAAUCGUCCAAUAUUCUUUUUCUAUGCACUAACACCAAUCAUGUUCUGGUUGUGCCGUGAUUUAGGCUAUAAACAAUAUCAUGGAGUCAGUAUUAUCUUCAUCAAAAGAUACCUAAUAUUAUUCUGUGUAACAUUGCCGAUAGCAAUUUUAAUGAUGAUUGUGGAAUCAGAUAUUACAUUUGAAGAAGCUUUAAAUAUCGACGUAUUAAAUUACAAGAUUAUUCCAACCAUCAAUCAAAAUAUUGGAUUGGGCAGUGAUCAACUGUUAGUAAACUGGAAUUGGAAACUUGUAACUAUUCUUGGACAUAUUAUGAUAUUAUUUCCUAUAUUAGGAGUAUACACAAUGGUAGAAUGGAUUAGAAUCAUCUGUAAAUUUAAAUCAAAGAAGAAAAAUGCAUCGAAAUUAUCUUCAAUUCAUGUUUUUAUGAAUUUAUCUUUAAUAUUCUCCACUGGUUUGUUAAUAUUGUCUGUAAAAUUAACCACAUAUGAUUUUUUUACCGCUAAUUAUACCAUUUGUUUAUAUAAAUGGUGAAACAAUCAUAAAAUCAUCAAGAAAAACAGUUAAAACAACAAAUUAUGCAUUUAAAUUGUGGAUUUGCAUCAAUAUGUUGCUGGGAUUAUUUAAUGGAUUUUUACACGAAGGCGGAGUACUUCCUGCAACAAUGUACCUGUCAAAGAGACAUCAAGAACAUCAAAUCUACCCAGUUGAUAUUCAUAUUGUGACCAGCCAUGUCCCGCCGAUACCGCAAAUGUUAUUUAUGCAGUAUGAGCACGAACAGGAAAUUUUCCUGCACGAGUAUGGCAAGAGUCCCAUCACGACAGUAAUCGAACAAAUCGCUACGCUCAGAUACGAUGCCUUCGUUACUGGCAACGAGUACCAGCUUUAUUUCCUGAUACCGUCGUAUAAGCACAAUGAAUUGAUCUCGGCGCUACAAGAUUUCAAUCGGGUGGAUAUCAAAUUAGAAACGAGCUUUUAUCCGCACGUUACUGUCGAAGCUUUCGAUACGUUCAAGCUACAAAAUUAUCAAUUUUCGAAUGUGACAGAUCUUAUAUAUGCAACCAGUUUGACAUUCAAUUUAGAUUUGUAUGCUAUUCAACCUUAACUGAAUUAAAAUGUAUAUAAAGUUGCAUAAAAUUAAUUAAUCACGA
Dalotia coriaria is the source of this 1902-nucleotide long non-coding RNA. RefSeq lists it as uncharacterized. The record is from RefSeq and is a predicted model, not a curated record. NCBI's taxonomy places the organism in Eukaryota, Metazoa, Arthropoda, Insecta, Coleoptera, Staphylinidae. The transcript is spliced from 2 exons.